RNAcentral lists this ribosomal RNA (253 nucleotides) under uncultured bacterium. RNAcentral's name for it is "partial 16S ribosomal RNA". It matches the Rfam family "Bacterial small subunit ribosomal RNA", at positions 524 to 776 of the family's 1533-position model. The record is from RNAcentral.
UACGUAGGCAGCGAGCGUUGUUCGGAGUUACUGGGCGUAAAGGGUGUGUAGGCGGUUUUCUAAGUUUGGUGUGAAAUCUCCCGGCUCAACCGGGAGGGUGCGCCGAAAACUGGGAGACUAGAGUGCGGGAAGGGAGAGUAGAAUUCCUGGUGUAGCGGUGAAAUGCGUAGAUAUCAGGAGGAAUACCGGUGGUGUAGACGGCUCUCUGGACCGCGACUGACGCUGAGACACGAAAGCGUGGGUAGCAAACAGG